AACGAACGCUGGCGGCAGGCCUAACACAUGCAAGUCGAACGCACCUUCGGGUGAGUGGCAGACGGGUGAGUAACGCGUGGGAACCUACCUUUCGGUACGGAACAACAGUUGGAAACGACUGCUAAUACCGUAUACGUCCUUCGGGAGAAAGAUUUAUCGCCGAUAGAGGGGCCCGCGUUGGAUUAGCUUGUUGGUGAGGUAACGGCUCACCAAGGCGACGAUCCAUAGCUGGUCUGAGAGGAUGAUCAGCCACACUGGGACUUAGACACGGCCCAGACUCCUACGGGAGGCAGCAGUGGGGAAUAUUGGACAAUGGGCGCAAGCCUGAUCCAGCCAUGCCGCGUGAGUGAUGACGGCCCUAGGGUUGUAAAGCUCUUUCAGUGGUGAAGACAAUGACGGUAACCACAGAAGAAGCCCCGGCUAACUCCGUGCCAGCAGCCGCGGUAAUACGGAGGGGGCUAGCGUUGUUCGGAAUUACUGGGCGUAAAGCGCGCGUAGGCGGGUCUUUAAGUCAGAGGUGAAAUCCUGGGGCUCAACCCCAGAACUGCCUUUGAUACUGAAGAUCUUGAGUCCGGAAGAGGUUAGUGGAAUUCCCAGUGUAGAGGUG
RNAcentral lists this ribosomal RNA (607 nucleotides) under uncultured bacterium. RNAcentral describes it as "bacterial SSU rRNA". It matches the Rfam family "Bacterial small subunit ribosomal RNA", at positions 28 to 683 of the family's 1533-position model. The record is from RNAcentral.